CCGGCGCAGAUCCACCCAGCUGGAGGAUCCGGAGAGAAUUCUGAAGCGAUACGAACGCUCCUUACGUGGACUGGCUUCCUUUAUUUCUUCUUAAGAUUUUAAAGAAGAGGCUGUGCAGGACUGUAGAAGCUGCUGAAGUUUUGACUGUGGGUUUCAACUCUCCCUCUCACCCACGCUCUGUCUCCAAAAGCUGCAGGGGUUUCGCUGAGUUGGCAAAAACGCGUCGCGACGCAGCAACAGAAAUAAACUGUCAGCCUUCAAGAACUCCAACACACGCACAUCUUGUCCUCAUUGGACCUCCAAUGAGGGCUGAUCGGGUUAGCUGGUUUUCCAGCCCACUACUUUAUUUCCAACCCAAAAGUUGAACCUCAUGGCACCUGCGGCACUGUGAGAACAUAUCGCUGUGGAAAAUCAGGGAAGCUUUUCUUUCAUCUCAUCAGACCGUCUGGCAUGCCAUCACUGUCCAGCAGCGCCGCACAGCUUCAAAAGAGCAUCUUGUCUUCAAUGAUCCUUCACAGCACAGCAAAGGCAAGAGAGACGCCAUCAUAAUGGAAUACUUGAUUCUGAUUGGUCAGUCACGACAUGCUGUCAUAAAAUAUUUUUGUUUAAUGACUGAUGAUGAUACGGUAACUUUAAAAGGUAAAUGUACACUAAAUGCCACCAAAAAAGCUAAUUUAAUUUGAGCAAACCAAUUAGAACAAACAAUAACUAAUUUUAACAAAUGAACAAACCAAUAAUUUUGUUAAAUGUAUCAGACUUUCCAGCACUACUUAUCAAUCAGAGAAUUAUUUGUAAAAAUAGAGCAAAUUGAGUUCUAUCACAACAUCUAUCAGUGAAUCAUUUUCUUAAACUGAAUAAACAAAUCAGUUUAUUAAAAUGAACCAGACAUCCCAGAACUACGUAUCAAUCAGUACAUCAUGUUUUAAAACAUAAAAAAAGUGAUUCACUAAAAUAAACUGAUCUAUCCCAGCAUGACAUUUAUCAGUGAAUCCUUUGUUUGAAAUGAACAAACAAAUUGAUUUGUUGAAAUGAGUCAGACUUCCAAGCACAACAUAUCACUCAGUGAAUCAUUUUUUUUAAACCGAACAGAUUGAUUCAGUAAAAUGAAUUGAUCUGCCUCGCACAACAUCUAUAAAUGAGUUAUUAGUUUGAACAUAACAUAAAAAAAAAUCAACUUGUUAAAAAACGAACUGGACAUCCCAGUACUACUUAUCAAUCAGUGAAUCAUGUUUUAAAACAGAACUACAAAGUGAUUCUCUACAAUGAAGUGAUCUCCCCAGCACAUCUAUCAAUCAGUUUGCUUGAACUGAUUCAACAGAACAAACUAAUGAUUUGUGACUCAGACUUCCCAGUAAACCAUUGUUUUAACUGAUUUAUAGUCACCCUUCAUUUCUAUUUAGUUUCUAUUUCUAUUCAUUUCCAUUUAAUUACUCUUAAUUUCCAAAUUUAGUUCUAUUAGUUUGAUUAGUUAGGACAUCAUGUAGUUUUCCACUCUCACGGUAAGGACACGUCCACAGCGGUGUAAACCACAGGUGGCUGUAGAGGACGUAAGCGUUCUGAGACACAUCAGGUGUGAACGUGUUCCUGAUUGCCUCCUGUCCGCAGCGGCAGCGAUGUGUAAUCAGCGCUGAUAGACGAGCUGCCCGACCACGGCUUGAUGCAGAGUAUUUUAAGAGCUAAAAUGGGGCCCCCUCCCAACCCCCCACUAACCUCGCCCCAAAUUUUGUGGAAGACCACAAGGAGACGCACUGAAAAAGCCCACAUCCACAGUCCACAUUAAGAUCAGACCACCAUGUCUGAAAGCCAUUAUGGACUAUAUCUCAGACACGUGUAUGUAGGAAAGCACAUUCUUUCUCUCUCUCUCUGUGAAGCUGGACCAUUUCAGACCACCUUUAGUACUCUUAGGACAAAUAAGGAAUUGAAAGCUACACUACAAGCUCUGGUGUUUUUGUAAAGGUGUUGAUUCACACUAAAGGACAAACUGCUGUGGGACUAAGGGUGAGUUGGACUGAAUGUGUAUUUUUAAUGACAGUGUGUUGUGCAAAUACAGUGGGUUCCAAAAUCCUGUAACCACAUUCCCCUUUUUUAUUUAAACUUGACGUGACAUAAUUUUUGGGGGGAUUUUGGAACAAUUAAAAAUCAUUAAAAAAAUUUAAAAUUCUGAAAUAUUUCAGAUUUCUAGAAGGUGGUUUGGAUCAGACUUGUACAAAUGUUUUCGUGUGUGUUUUUUCCUGUUAAAAUAGUAAAAAGCUAAAUAUAUUUA
This is a long non-coding RNA of Carassius carassius (crucian carp), 2263 nucleotides long. RefSeq lists it as uncharacterized. The transcript is spliced from 3 exons. The record is from RefSeq and is a predicted model, not a curated record. NCBI's taxonomy places the organism in Eukaryota, Metazoa, Chordata, Actinopteri, Cypriniformes, Cyprinidae.